Molecule: ribosomal RNA, 519 nt
Filed under: uncultured fungus
Lineage: Eukaryota; Fungi
Description: SSU rRNA
Rfam family: Eukaryotic small subunit ribosomal RNA
Source: RNAcentral
AUUAAAAACCAAUGCCCUUCGGGGGCUCUCUGGUGAUUCAUAAUAACUUCUCGAAUCGCACGGCCUUGCGCCGGCGAUGGUUCAUUCAAAUUUCUGCCCUAUCAACUUUCGACGGCUGGGUCUUGGCCAGCCGUGGUGACAACGGGUAACGGAGGGUUAGGGCUCGACCCCGGAGAAGGAGCCUGAGAAACGGCUACUACAUCCAAGGAAGGCAGCAGGCGCGCAAAUUACCCAAUCCCGACACGGGGAGGUAGUGACAAUAAAUACUGAUACAGGGCUCUUUCGGGUCUUGUAAUUGGAAUGAGUACAAUUUAAAUCCCUUAACGAGGAACAAUUGGAGGGCAAGUCUGGUGCCAGCAGCCGCGGUAAUUCCAGCUCCAAUAGCGUAUAUUAAAGUUGUUGAGGUUAAAAAGCUCGUAGUUGAACCUUGGGCCUAGCCGGCCGGUCCGCCUCACCGCGUGCACUGGCUCGGCUGGGUCUUUCCUUCUGGAGAACCGCAUGCCCUUCACUGGGUGUGCC